UACGAAGGGGGCUAGCGUUGCUCGGAAUCACUGGGCGUAAAGCGCACGUAGGCGGAUUGCUAAGUCAGGGGUGAAAUCCUGGAGCUCAACUCCAGAACUGCCUUUGAUACUGGCGAUCUCGAGUCCGGGAGAGGUGAGUGGAACUCCGAGUGUAGAGGUGAAAUUCGUAGAUAUUCGGAAGAACACCAGUGGCGAAGGCGGCUCACUGGCCCGGUACUGACGCUGAGGCACGAAAGCGUGGGGAGCAAACAGG
Molecule: ribosomal RNA, 253 nt
Filed under: uncultured bacterium
Lineage: Bacteria
Description: partial 16S ribosomal RNA
Rfam family: Bacterial small subunit ribosomal RNA
Source: RNAcentral